Molecule: small RNA, 28 nt
Filed under: Bombyx mori (domestic silkworm)
Lineage: Eukaryota; Metazoa; Arthropoda; Insecta; Lepidoptera; Bombycidae
Description: ovarian small RNA-32216
Source: RNAcentral
UGAGCUUCGUCAUGGCUUCGGCCUAGUU